ACGGGGCCCGCACAAGCGGUGGAGCAUGUGGUUUAAUCGAUGCAACGCGAAGAACCUUACCUGGGCUUGACAUCCCGAGAAUCCCCUGGAAACAGGGGAGUUGGCCCUUUCGGGGAACUCGGAGACAGGUGCUGCAUGGCUGUCGUCAGCUCGUGUCGUGAGAUGUUGGGUUAAGUCCCGCAACGAGCGCAACCCUUGUCUUUAAUUGCCAGCAUUCAGUUGGGCACUUUAAAGAGACUGCCGGUGUUAAGCCGGAGGAAGGUGGGAUGACGUCAAGUCCUCAUGGCCUUUAUGUCCAGGGCUACACACGUGCUACAAUGGGCGAUACAGAGGGAAGCAAGGCCGCAAGGUAGAGCUAAUCCCUAAAGUCGUCCUCAGUUCGGAUUGCAGGCUGCAACUCGCCUGCAUGAAGUCGGAAUCGCUAGUAAUCGCGGAUCAGCUACGCCGCGGUGAACUACGUUCUCGGGCCUU
This 471-nucleotide ribosomal RNA is filed under the name uncultured Syntrophaceae bacterium. RNAcentral's name for it is "bacterial SSU rRNA". It matches the Rfam family "Bacterial small subunit ribosomal RNA", at positions 916 to 1381 of the family's 1533-position model. The record is from RNAcentral. Lineage: Bacteria; Pseudomonadati; Thermodesulfobacteriota; Syntrophia; Syntrophales; Syntrophaceae.